RNAcentral lists this ribosomal RNA (465 nucleotides) under uncultured bacterium. RNAcentral's name for it is "partial 16S ribosomal RNA". It matches the Rfam family "Bacterial small subunit ribosomal RNA", at positions 338 to 795 of the family's 1533-position model. The record is from RNAcentral.
CCUACGGGGCGCUGCAGUAGGGAAUCUUCCACAAUGGGCGAAAGCCUGAUGGAGCAACGCCGCGUGGGUGAAGAAGGUCUUCGGAUCGUAAAACCCUGUUGUUAGAGAAGAAAGUGCGUGAGAGUAACUGUUCACGUUUCGACGGUAUCUAACCAGAAAGCCACGGCUAACUACGUGCCAGCAGCCGCGGUAAUACGUAGGUGGCAAGCGUUAUCCGGAUUGAUUGGGCGUAAAGGGAACGCAGGCGGUCUUUUAAGUCUGAUGUGAAAGCCUUCGGCUUAACCUGAGUAGUUCAUUGGAACCUGGGAGAUUUGAGUGCAGAAGAGGAGAGUGGAACUCCAUGUGUAGCGGUGCAAUGCGUAGAUAUAUGGAAGAACACCAGUGGCGAAAGCGGCUCUCUGGUCUGUAACUGACGCUGAGGUUCGAAAGCGUGGGUAGCAAACAGGAUUAGAUACCCCUGUAGUC